This 253-nucleotide ribosomal RNA is filed under the name uncultured bacterium. RNAcentral describes it as "partial 16S ribosomal RNA". It matches the Rfam family "Bacterial small subunit ribosomal RNA", at positions 524 to 776 of the family's 1533-position model. The record is from RNAcentral.
UACGUAGGUGACAAGCGUUGUCCGGAUUUACUGGGCGUAAAGAGCGCGCAGGCGGUCGUUCAAGUCGAGUGUGAAAGCCCCCGGCUCAACUGGGGAGGGUCACUCGAUACUGAUCGACUCGAAGGCAGGAGAGGGUAGUGGAAUUCCCGGUGUAGUGGUGAAAUGCGUAGAUAUCGGGAGGAACACCAGUGGCGAAGGCGACUACCUGGCCUGUAACUGACGCUGAGACGCGAAAGCGUGGGGAGCAAACCGG